Tigriopus californicus is the source of this 1335-nucleotide long non-coding RNA. RefSeq lists it as uncharacterized. The transcript has 2 exons. The record is from RefSeq and is a predicted model, not a curated record. Lineage: Eukaryota; Metazoa; Arthropoda; Copepoda; Harpacticoida; Harpacticidae.
CCCUAAAGAACACACAAAGAUUGGCCCGAGAGGAACGAUCAAGUGUGUAACAAUUUGAUGGAUUUGUAAGAGUCAUUUCAAAAUAGGCAUGGGAUGGCUCGAAAGGCAGAUCAUUCAUAAGUCGAUUGAUCUAACGGGUGGGAAGAAUGUCAAUUGAAAUUAUGAUGAACGAAAUCGAGUCUCACAAAACACACCUAAACAGUCGUUUAAUGACGCAUGAGUCGUAUGCAAAUAUCGAGAUCCAAUUGCCAAUGUCAUUUUGACAUAUUUCAUAGGAUUUCAUGAUUCACAAGUCGGGCAAAUUUCGGUUCAUUUGGGAUCAGACCGAACACCAAGCAGGAGCGGAAACAAGAUAAGCCAAAGACCAAUGACCCGUGGUGAGUGGACCAGCCGCAUCAGGUCCUUGGUAACGCGAAGUUCGCAUACCUUUACCAUCGAAGACUUUUUGUCAAAGAUUGGCACACUUCAAACAAAGACAAAGACAAAUAUGUGGCCAUGUACCUCUCUCUGCUACCCCGUUAUUGUGAAUUGACCUUGCCUACAGUGGGCGAAGACCGACCCGGAUUCCCAGUUAAAUAUCAGUUUUGGCUUAUUGAUAAUCGCAACAAAGUCCUGCACGAGCCCUAUGAACUUCAUAAAAAGUACGCCGGGUUAUCGGAUGAAUUACCCUAUUAUGUAUUGAAUAUGAAGGAAUUCAAUAAGGAUCCGAACCAAUUUUUGCAUAAAUCCUUGGCGGUUCGUUGUUCGGUCGAGUUUAAUUGAGGGACCGAGCUCAGUUCGACAGCUCCUAUAGAUCCCAAACAUGGGUAGAAUCAGCGCUUGUCUUCAGAUAUCUAUCCGGAUAUGUAUCUGAUAUGUAUCUGUGAGCGGUGAAACUCGACUUCCCUGUCACAAACACAUGUUGGCGGCUUGCUCGGAGGUUUUUAACGCCAUGUUCUCGCACGUCGACAAAGAGACGACUUUCAAUGAAGUGAUCAUUGAGGAUGUGGAUUUGACGGCACUGAAGAUAAUGCUCGAAUCUGUUAAAACCGAUGACAUCAAAGAUUAUGAAGGGCUGGCGGCCAAACUCAUCUUGGCUGCGGACAAAUAUGAUAUGGCGGAUUUGAAGACAAUAGCCGUAAAUGAGGCUAUUCGGAAAUUUACUGUUGAUAAUGUUUGCAAUUCGUUGCGAUAUUGCAUUCACACGUUUUACUUCUGCCAGACUCUAGCUAUGUUUUUUUACUAAUUUCCUAACUUGUUACUUUCUUCCGAACAAGACUCGAUAGCUCUCUUUUUAAGAACCGUCUCAAAUGAACAAGACUGUCGAAACUUACAAAUAAACACUAGUUAUCCAGA